RNAcentral lists this ribosomal RNA (465 nucleotides) under uncultured bacterium. RNAcentral describes it as "partial 16S ribosomal RNA". It matches the Rfam family "Bacterial small subunit ribosomal RNA", at positions 28 to 507 of the family's 1533-position model. The record is from RNAcentral.
GACGAACGCUGGCGGCGUGCUUAACACAUGCAAGUCGUACGGUAAGGCCCUUUCGGGGGUACACGAGUGGCGAACGGGUGAGUAACACGUGAGUAACCUGCCCACAACUUUGGGAUAACGCUAGGAAACUGGUGCUAAUACUGGAUAUGUGCUCCUGCUGCAUGGUGGGGGUUGGAAAGCUCCGGCGGUUGUGGAUGGACUCGCGGCCUAUCAGCUUGUUGGUGGGGUAGUGGCCUACCAAGGCGGCGACGGGUAGCCGGCCUGAGAGGGUGACCGGCCACAUUGGGACUGAGAUACGGCCCAGACUCCUACGGGAGGCAGCAGUGGGGAAUAUUGCACAAUGGGCGCAAGCCUGAUGCAGCAACGCCGCGUGCGGGAUGACUGCCUUCGGGUUGUAAACCGCUUUCAGCAGGGACGAAGCUUUUUGUGACGGUACCUGCAGAAGAAGCACCGGCUAACUACGUG